This 221-nucleotide ribosomal RNA is filed under the name uncultured bacterium. RNAcentral's name for it is "partial 16S ribosomal RNA". It matches the Rfam family "Bacterial small subunit ribosomal RNA", at positions 110 to 334 of the family's 1533-position model. The record is from RNAcentral.
GUAAUGUCUGGGAAACUGCCUGAUGGAGGGGGAUAACUACUGGAAACGGUAGCUAAUACUGCAUAACGUCGCAAGACCAAAGAGGGGGACCUUAGGGCCUCUUGCCAUCGGAUGUGCCCAGAUGGGAUUAGCUAGUAGGUGGGGUAACGGCUCACCUAGGCGACGAUCCCUAGCUGGUCUGAGAGGAUGACCAGCCACACUGGAACUGAGACACGGUCCAG